GGACCUUGGUCUUAUCGUUAUCUCGAGGGGGGUGGGCAGUUUGACCCAGCCACCCUUAUAACUGGCUCUCUUCAUGGUUCUCUUAAAAUUAAGGCCUUCCUUGCGAGACGAGAAUCUUCACCAUCUGAAUCAUGAAUUUCCUUUGGGCUCAGAAUUUCCUCUGCACAUUGACAGUGGCGCAGCAAAAUAAGUUGCAGCGUGGGAUUUUGGGAAGACAUCUCUGGCCAUCUGAAGUUAUGGGGCAUCUUUGUGCUCUCAGGAUGCUACCACUGAUCAGGAUGAAGGCCUGAAGACACAGACGGCAAUGACAAGAGUGGAGAAGAAGCUCCCUGGCUGCGCUGCACCCCUCGCUGGCACCCUCGGCCUGCUCCAUGCCCCCUGUCUCACUGCUGCUCCAGCCUUCUCAUCGUGGCCCCCACCAGGAAGACCACCAACACUGCUCCACUCACCUUCAUACCUUCACCUAUUCACCUGAACAUAAAUAAAAGAACACCUUUUUUUCCCACUACCACCACCUCCAGUGUGUCUGUGUUCUGCCUGUUGCAACCUAUAGUGGCCACAUACUCUUUAAGCAAAAUGGUGCA
Ictalurus punctatus (channel catfish) is the source of this 584-nucleotide long non-coding RNA. Lineage: Eukaryota; Metazoa; Chordata; Actinopteri; Siluriformes; Ictaluridae. The record is from Ensembl.